CUAACAUGUGCGCGAGUCAAUGGGAAUCACUCGAGACCCACAGGCGCAAUGAAAGUGAAGGUGGUUUGGCUUGUCCCCACCGAGGCGGGAUCCGUUUAACAAGUUUUUUCCCGUUCAAUUGUUUUUYCCCCUCYYNSGGGGGGUKGSVARSSGGGUUGGCUUGGCGGCGCACCGUCGGCCCGUCGCAAACGCAACGCCGUUGCGGCGGAGCAAGAGCGUACACGUUGGGACCCGAAAGAUGGUGAUCUAUGCCCGGGCAGGACGAAGCCAGAGGAAACUCUGGUGGAGGUCCGUAGCGAUUCUGACGUGCAAAUCGAUCGUCGGACCUGGGUAUAGGGGCGAAAGACUAAUCGAACCGUCUAGUAGCUGGUUCCYUCCGAAGUUUCCCUCAGGAUAGCUGGCGCUCGGAAUGGAACGCAGUCUCAUCCGGUAAAGCGAAUGAUUAGAGGCCUUGGGGCCGAAACGACCUCAACCUAUUCUCAAACUUUAAAUGGGUGAGAAGUCCGGCUUGCUCGACUACUGAAGCCCGGACGUUAAAGGAUGCGAGUGCCAAGUGGGCCACUUUUGGUAAGCAGAACUGGCGCUGUGGGAUGAACCAAACGCCGGGUUAAGGCGCCUAAUGCGGACGCUCAUCAGACCCCAUGAAAGGUGUUGGUUGCUAUAGACAGCAGGACGGUGGCCAUGGAAGUCGGAAUCCGCUAAGGAGUGUGUAACAACUCACCUGCCGAAGCAACUAGCCCUGAAAAUGGAUGGCGCUCUAGCGUCGAGCCUAUACCCGGCCGUCGGAGCAAGCUGCGGUACUUUUGCAAAAGAGAGUUUCGUACCAAUGCUCCGACGAGUAGGAGGGUCGCGGUGGUGAGCGUUGAAGGUUAGGGCGUGAGCCCGACUGGAGCCGCCACCGGUGCAGAUCUUGGUGGUAGUAGCAAAUACACGAGUGAGAACCUUGUGGACUGAAGUGGAGAAGGGUUUCGUGUGAACAGCAGUUGAACACGAGUCAGUCGGUCCUAAUGAAUAGGGGAAACCCGUUCCGAACCGGGGG
Molecule: ribosomal RNA, 1039 nt
Filed under: Paralamyctes cammooensis
Lineage: Eukaryota; Metazoa; Arthropoda; Chilopoda; Lithobiomorpha; Henicopidae
Description: eukaryotic LSU rRNA
Rfam family: Eukaryotic large subunit ribosomal RNA
Source: RNAcentral